UGGUGUUUGGCAAAUGUGGAGGGGGAGACCUGAGCUGCUUGCGAGCAGCUGUUCGCAUAGUGCUUGAAUAGUGCUAGAGGAUAGGUCUGUCGUUGAAUCUUGAAAGCUCGUAGAUGUGGAGUUUUUUUUUUUUUUUCCUCCAGUCUUAGGUAAACCUUAGGAGGAACCGGUCGAAGGAGAGAGCGCCUUCUGGAACUGUCAAGCACUUGUUCGGCAGCUCAGUGACUGGCUUGGUCUACUUCUGAGGUGCCGAGGCAGGUUGUCUGCUGUUUUGAAACGAUAACAUUGGAAAUGGGGUCCCAUGUGUUGUUGAGGGAUGGGUGCUAAUGCUGGCAGCUGAAUGAUUACCUUCUAUGUUUUCAUUUGUUAAAGCUGAAACGCAGCGUACAACCUGGGACGUCACACCCAGAGCUGCCUCUGGCAAGGUGCCAUGGCAGGCUCUCCACAGAAGUGGCUGAGGAUUUGAGAUGAGGCCAGAGAGUGACAAGGAGCAGCACGUGCAGGGAUGGUUUCCAAGCGCUGCGAUUGUUUUCUCUUCUGUUUAUCAGGUGCCACAGGCAAGGUGAAGAGGUGCCUGAAGCCCCAUCCUGGCUGGCCAGCGCACACCUCGCUGAGAACGAAAGCUGCUUUCCAGUAAUUCAGAAAGCUAAGUUACGUCUCGGCCUCGAGCAUCUGGGGCGUGUGCCUGUGCUUUUGGACCUGUCUGUAGCAUUUGGCACCUGCAUUAAUACUUUCUUGGCAUAUGUGCAGGCUUUUGGGGCCUGUGUCUUGGGGGGAGGGUUGGGGCCAGUGUCUAGGGGGGGUGUGGAGCUGCUUGUACAC
This 822-nucleotide long non-coding RNA is filed under the name Anser cygnoides (Swan goose). RNAcentral's name for it is "lncRNA (ENSACDG00005011209.1)". Lineage: Eukaryota; Metazoa; Chordata; Aves; Anseriformes; Anatidae. The record is from RNAcentral.